GACGAACGCUGGCGGCGUGCUUAACACAUGCAAGUCGAACGAAGUGGCGAACGGGUGAGUAAUACGUGAGUAACCUGCCCUCCUUUUUGGGAUAAGCCUUGGAAACGGGGUCUAAUACCGACUAAAGUGGGAUGGGCUCGCGGCCUAUCAGCUUGUUGGUGGGGUGAUGGCCUACCAGGGCGGUGGCGGGUAGCCGGCGUGGGAGGGUGACCUGGCACAUGGGAAAUGGGCCACGGUCCAGACUGAGACGGGAGGCGGGAAUGGUGGACAUUGCACAAUGGGCGGAAGCAUGAUGCAGGCGUGCAGGGUGGGGGAUGAAGGCUUGCGGGUUGUAAUCCUCUGUCGCUAUCGAGCGGGUAGGUGGAGAAGAAGCGCCGGCUAACUACGUGCCAGCAGCCGCGGUAAUUC
This 408-nucleotide ribosomal RNA is filed under the name uncultured bacterium. RNAcentral describes it as "partial 16S ribosomal RNA". It matches the Rfam family "Bacterial small subunit ribosomal RNA", at positions 28 to 526 of the family's 1533-position model. The record is from RNAcentral.